GUGGGUAGUCCGCACGAGCGCACCUCACUUUUAGUUGCCAUCAUUAAGUUGGGCACUCUGAAAGAACUGCCAGUGAUAAGCUGGAGGAAGGUGGGGAUGACGUCAAGUCCUCAUGGCCCUUACGUGUUGGGCUGCACACGUGCUACAAUGGCAUCUACAACAGGAAGCAAAACGGCAACGUUAAGCAAAUCCCGAAAAGAUGCCUCAGUUCGGAUUGCACUCUGCAACUCGAGUGCAUGAAGCUGGAAUUACUAGUAAUCGUGGAUCAGCGUGCCACGGUGAAUGCGUUCCCGGGUCUUGUACACACCGCCCGUCACACCAUGGGAGUUGGUUCUACCUUAAGGCAAGGUUUUAAACCCUUGACAACGGUAUAGUCAGCGACUGGGGUGAAGUCGUAACAGGGUAGCCGUAGGGGAACCUGCGGCUGGAUUACCUCCUUUCU
Molecule: ribosomal RNA, 442 nt
Filed under: uncultured Pelagibacterales bacterium
Lineage: Bacteria; Pseudomonadati; Pseudomonadota; Alphaproteobacteria; Candidatus Pelagibacterales
Description: bacterial SSU rRNA
Rfam family: Bacterial small subunit ribosomal RNA
Source: RNAcentral